GAUGAAGAACGUAGCGAAAUGCGAUACGUAAUGUGAAUUGCAGAAUUCAGUGAAUCAUCGAAUCUUUGAACGCAUAUUGCGCUCUCUGGUAUUCCGGAGAGCAUGCUUGUUUGAGUAUCAGUAAACACCUCAACUUCCAUAUCUUUUUUGAAAUGGGAGUUGGACUUGAGUGAUCCCAACGCUUUUCCUCACCGAAAAGUGGCGGGUUACUUGAAAUGCAGGUGCAGCUGGACUUUUCUCUGAGCUAUAAGCAUAUCUAUUUAGUCUGCCUAAAAAACAGAUUAUUACCUUUGCUGCAGCUAACAUAAAGGAGAUUAGUUCUUGUGCUGACUGAUGCAGGAUUCACAAAGACAGGUUUCGGCCGACUUUGUAAACUCGAUCUCAAAUCAAGUAAGACUACCCGCUGAACUUAAGCAUAUCAAUAAGCGGAGGA
RNAcentral lists this unclassified non-coding RNA (433 nucleotides) under soil metagenome. RNAcentral describes it as "partial contains 5.8S ribosomal RNA, internal transcribed spacer 2, and large subunit ribosomal RNA". The stretch from base 1 to 120 matches the Rfam family "5.8S ribosomal RNA", at positions 35 to 154 of the family's 154-position model. The record is from RNAcentral.